CCCCCACACCUCGCACCCUGCCCUCUCUCCCGAAGGAGUUUCUAAGGAGAAAAAUAAAAAUGGCAGCAGUCUGAGAAAGAUAAAGGAAGGACAUAGAUAUCCACCAAGUUGAAUACUAGCCUCGUACCAAAAGUGAUUGGGUGCAGGGCCAGGGAAGGAAACUUCCAGAGCUCAGGAGACGUCUCCUUCCAUCUUCAUUAAAGCCCCUUGACAGUAAAAAGUGAGCGAAUCAGCAUCAGAACCCAGGCAUAGGGAUGUUUAUCGCCUUGCGGUGGAGCACAGGCGAGUGGCCGGCCUUGACCAGGUGGGGCAGCUCUGGACUUGAGUGAGGAGGUCAGAAUGGUGGCAGGAGCAGGGCAGGAGCCCCCCCGGCCUGGGGGGCGCAAUGCCUGGAGACGCCCAGCAGGGGGCGCAGAGGCCUGGUAGGACUGGGGUUGGAUGUGAUUUUGCUGGUGGGCCUGGCUGCGGCUGAACCCUCAGUCUUUUGAUGCCGCAAGCUCGCUCUCCAGCCGCCCCCCACCCCAACCCCCUCCGAAUCCUAGGCCAGCCUGUCGCCAUUUUAACACAUUCAUGUUCUGCCUAAAGCAGCCGGAAUUGGUUUCUGUUGCUUAUAAGCGGGCGAGAGUCCCAGCUGACUCUCCAGGCCUCUGGGCUGACAUUCUAGAGACUUCCACCCCACUUCUUUUCAAAUGCCCUCUGCUGACCGAGGCCAGGAUAGACCCACUCCAUGGAGACAAACCAAGCACAACACAAGUCAAAUUAAAAGCAGAAAGCCUCCAAAUUUGGCGCCGGCCCAGCGUCCUGCCCUGACAGCUGGUCUUCCUCUAAGCCACUGGCGGUGGAGGGCGCCUGAAACAAGACCACCAAUCAGGGUAAACUUCCAGAGAAGCUCCACGUCAGCCUCCUGCAUGGCUGCUGGACCAGUCGAUUUGAGCUCAGCUACUUUAGUCACAAGGUUAUUUCCAAACAGGACUUCUAUUACUAGGAGCGAGGUGCAGGGAGCUUAGCAGCCUCUUCCAGCUUCCAAUCCACCUUGCAAUGAUUAACAAUCACCAUCGUCCCAUCCUAAUAACAAUUCCAAAACUAGAGAAAUCAGGCUAUAGACGAUUCAGUCCUUAUUCCUGGGAAUGGAUCACACAAGACAGGAAGUUGAAGCUUGGACCAGGGUCAAGGGCCGGAAGUGAGCAGGCUCUGCUGCCCAUAAUGCAGUAGACUGUCUUCAAGUAAAACCGAAGCUCCGGGCAGAUGCGCCGUGUCUAUCUAGGAACUCCAGACUCUCCAAGGGACUACUGCUGUGCCCAGAGCUGUGACAAAGCUAAGCUACUGCCACCGAUACAAGGAGUCAGGGCACACAGAAGGGAUACACUGAUAUUGGCAAUUUAAAUAGCACUGGUCACACCCAUACAG
Long non-coding RNA from Bos taurus (domestic cattle), 1407 nucleotides. NCBI's taxonomy places the organism in Eukaryota, Metazoa, Chordata, Mammalia, Artiodactyla, Bovidae. The record is from Ensembl.